AGCUUUGUGCAGUGGCAGUAUCGUAGCCUCCUAAAACCAAUGAGGUUUAUCCAAGGAGCGAUUAUUGCUAUUUGAAAACUUUUCCCAAUAACCCGCCAUGAGGACUUGCAACAUAGUCAGCAUUGGCAAUUUUUGACAGUCUCUAAGGAGA
This is a small nuclear RNA of Callithrix jacchus (white-tufted-ear marmoset), 151 nucleotides long. Its record names the gene U4. It matches the Rfam family "U4 spliceosomal RNA". Rfam says of the family: U4 small nuclear RNA (U4 snRNA) is a component of the major U2-dependent spliceosome. The structure of U4 snRNA from yeast and human has been reported. NCBI's taxonomy places the organism in Eukaryota, Metazoa, Chordata, Mammalia, Primates, Cebidae. The record is from Ensembl.